CAUUAAUAAGGCAGCUUAUUUUGGACUGACCACAAUAACAACAUUCUUUAAGUUCUUAAACAGUUGGAAAUUACUGUACUAGAGCAUAGCCUGAUCUUUUGGCAGGCAGGCAGGCAGGCAGGCAGGCAGGCAGGCAAGCAGGCAGCUUUUUUGUAACUGGGAGCCAAAUGGAGAGAGAGAACAGCAAAAGGGAAUGCAGUGGGACUAACUGAACUUGCUCCCUGGCAUUUGGGACCCGAAGAAAGGACCAAGUCUCAGUAACAGGCCUGGACCAAUCAACAACUGCCAUGGAGAGCCACUGGAACACCUAAAGCAGUUAAAAGGAGGAUGCUUUGAUUUGCGAGCAGGGAAGCAGUUUGCAGAGCCUUGCGCCAGUGGUCGCACAACAGAGCCAAGUCACCAGGAACUUCUCCAAGCCUACCGUGGGAUUGGCAGGACAGGCUACCUCAACUACCAGACUGGUAGAAAAAUCUUGUUGGAGUGGGUGCAAGUGAGAUCCCCUGUGUGUCGGUAAAAAUUUAAGUAAAACUUUUCAUGGUA
Molecule: long non-coding RNA, 540 nt
Organism: Ornithorhynchus anatinus (platypus)
Lineage: Eukaryota; Metazoa; Chordata; Mammalia; Monotremata; Ornithorhynchidae
Exons: 2
Source: RefSeq, a predicted model, not a curated record